This 300-nucleotide ribosomal RNA is filed under the name uncultured Pyrobaculum sp. RNAcentral's name for it is "bacterial SSU rRNA". It matches the Rfam family "Bacterial small subunit ribosomal RNA", at positions 499 to 795 of the family's 1533-position model. Lineage: Archaea; Thermoproteati; Thermoproteota; Thermoprotei; Thermoproteales; Thermoproteaceae. The record is from RNAcentral.
GAGUACGUGGUAGCAGGGGCCGCGGUGAGAGGGAGGGGGUAGUCUUUGUCCGGAGUGAUUGGGGGUAAAGAGGGGUGAGUCGGCCUGGAAGGUCAGCGGUGAAAACUGGAGGGUCAACCUCGAGACGUCGGUUGAAACCACCUGGCUAGAGUCCGGAAGAGGAGUGUGGAAUGCCCGGUGUAGCGGUGAAAUGCGCAGAUAUCGGGAAGAACACCCGUGGCGAAGGCGGCACUCUGGGACGGUACUGACGCUGAGACGCGAAAGCGUGGGGAGCGAACAGGAUUAGAUACCCUAGUAGUC